RNAcentral lists this long non-coding RNA (27558 nucleotides) under Setaria viridis. Its description in RNAcentral is "long non-coding RNA (SVIR_LNC006252)". Lineage: Eukaryota; Viridiplantae; Streptophyta; Magnoliopsida; Poales; Poaceae. The record is from RNAcentral.
CGUAAGGUGAAGAUGUUGUGGGAGGACCAGGGCAUAGCAGGGGAGAUCCAAAAACUCAAGAAACUCGUGACAGAGCAGAGUGACCGGGCCAAACGCUACCCUGUGGGAAUGCGGUGCGACUCACCUCAGCCGGUGCGCUUGGAUCCUCGAGCAACUGCCCUCUUUUCAGGAGGCGAGGGAUCCUGUGGGAAUUGAUGGUCCUCGCGAGGAAAUCAUCCAGCUAUUACAAGUUGAAGAAAAGCAGCACAAGGUGGUGUCCAUCUAUGGUACCGCUGGGCAGGGGAAGACUACUCUAGCCAUGGAGGUAUACCGAAAAAUCCCACAAGCAUUUGAUUGCAGGGCUUUCGUGUCUGUAUCUCAGACUCUGGACCUGAAGAAGCUACUCAGAGAUAUAUUGUCUCAAAUAGUAAGCAAGAGCGAGUUUGACCAGUUGCAGUCGGAAAGGUGGGAGACGGAGCAGCUCAUGCGCGAAAUGAUAGACUACUUAAUUGGCAAGACCAGAAUUACUUUCUUGUACUAUAAUAAUUAGCCAGUUCAUCUAGCUAUGGCAAUGUUGUGAGGUCUUUGUCGAUCACAUGAGCUCACCUAAUUUAUCGGCCAUUUUACGGUUGUAUUUUACGGACCCAUUCGAGCAUAAAACUACCACAUAUGCAUUUGUUACAUGACUUCAGCUGUUCAACAUAUCUACCAAAAGCCAUCGCUAAAUAUCUUACAACAAGGUCAAGUCAACUGCCCAUGAAUGUAGGCGUAUGUGGUUGGAGUUGGCCUGUACUAUUGUGCGCAAAUGAUAUUUGAGUAGAAAAUUAUUUACUCUAUACCAUCAAAUAAUUCCAGAUUCAGUAAAAUUAUUUCUUGAUAACUUCAACCAUGUUUGUUUCGUAUAGCCAUUCUAAAUAUCCAUAAAAAUCUUCUUUAAUCCGUCUCUUUACUUUUCUCCAAUAUCUUUCACCAUGAUAUGCUCUAUAUGUUGAAUAGUUAUGAUGGCCUCGUAACAUGAUUCCUCAACCAAUGCAUGCAGGUACUUCAUCUUGAUUGAUGAUAUCUGGAAUGUAUCAGAUUGGGAGCUUGUACAAGCUGCCUUACCUCGCAAUGACAACGGAAGCAGAAUAAUUACUACAACACGCAGUAAAACAGUAGCCAAAACAUGUGCUGGUACUGAUGCACAAAUGUACAAAGCAAAGCCACUUGGUGAUGACGAUUCUCGCAGAUUAUUCUUUAAAAGGCUAUUUCACUCAACUGAACAUUGUCCCCAAGAUUUGAUGGCAGUAUCCAGUGAUAUUUUGAGGAAAUGUGGGGGAUUACCAUUAGCCAUAAUCAGUAUAGCUGGUUUAUUAGCAAACAGAAGCAAAACCAAGGAAGUCUGGGUCAAUGCAUUGAAGUAUAUUUCUGCGGCAGUUGACAAAGAUUCUCACAUUGAUAAAAUGAAAAGAAUUUUUCUGCUUAGUUACUUUGACCUUCCUCUUUAUCUAAGGAGCUGUAUGUUAUAUCUGAGCGUGUUUCCGGAGGAUUAUUUGAUUGAUUGUAGACGGUUGAUAUUGUUAUGGGUAGCCGAAGGACUGAUUCCUGGACAAGGCAGAGAAAAUAUGGAGCAGCUUGGGAGGAGUUACUUGAAUGAGCUGAUCAAUAGAAGCUUGGUCCAACCAACCAAGGUUUGGGCAGAUGGCGCAACAGUUAAAGAGUGCAGGGUUCAUGAUGUCAUACUUGAGUUUAUUGUAUCAAAGGCUGUGGAGGACAAUUUUGUUACUAUAUGGAAUCGUAAUGGGUUUUCUGAAAAUUAUUCUUCCAACAAGAUUCGCCGUUUAUCUAUCCAACAUGACAUUUCUAGGCGGGCUGAAGAGAUGGUGAAGAUAAAAGAACAUGCAGCUCAUAUUCGAUCAAUUAAUAUUUUUGACCCUAAUUCAGUGCUGCUAAUUAAAAACACCUCUAUAUUUUUAAGUAGCCAAGUCUUGCGAGUGCUGAAUAUAGAAGAUCAUGUUUGGGAGGAGUUAGUUGAAGAUUACUGCUAUUUAGGACAUGUCAAAAGUUUUUGUCAAAUGAAGUACUUGAGGUUAAAAAUUUGGAUAUCACUAUGGUUCGAACUCCCAAAAGAUAUAGAAAAGCUGCAACAUCUAGAGACACUAGAUCUUAGGGGUACCUGCAUUGAAAAACUACCGGCUAGCAUUACCCAACUGCAGAGAUUAGUGCGUCUUCUUGUCAGUAUUGAGGUAAAACUACCUGAUGGGAUUGGAAAUCUGCAGGCAUUGGAAGAGCUAUCAUCGAUCAGUUUGGAUUUUCAAACUGUCAAGUUUAUCCAAGGGCUCGGCGAUCUGACCAAUCUGAAGGUACUUGGAAUUAAUUGGAAGCACACUUAUGCAGGAGUACGUCGCGUGGACGUGGAAGACCACAAGGAAGCAUGUAUCUUGUCACUCUCCAAGCUUGUCACAACCCUUCGAGAACUGCAAUUCAUGCAUGAUGUUCCUGAUGACGCACUUUCAUUCAUGGCUUCGUUUGCCUCAUCUUUAACUCCACCACCCCUUCGGAGGCUCGUCUUUCACGAAGGUGGUGGAUCAAGUGUCGUGCCCCAUCAAAUCAUCAGCUCGCUAGUCAACCUGACCCACCUCAAUAUUGGACUAGUAAGCCAGGAAGGGAUAAAUAUCCUAGCAAGUUUGCCCAUGCUCCUCUCUAUUACUGUUCGCGUUUCCUUUGAAGAGGGUAGUUCUGGAAUCAGGUAUACAAUCAGCAGUCAAGGAUUCCAGCGUUUAGUCAAGUUUAAUUUCGACUGUUUUCAUGAUGGGGGGGGCGUUGGAGUUUGAGCCAGGAGCCAUGCCAAAGCUCCAAAGGCUCGAGCUGUACCUGGUGGCACGGGGUCAGUUCAAUUAUGAGCAAGGCGCCCUCGUCCUUGGGCUGCAGAAUCUGGCAAGCCUCAGACAUGUUGCUCUUGGUAUUAACUGUUAUCCAGCUACUCCUGAUGAGGUGCAGGAUUUGGAGGAUGACAUCAGGGUUGCAGCAGGCGCCCAUCCCAACCGUCCCGUGGUCCAGCUGGUCGGAAAACUAAAUGAACAUUGGAUGACUUAGGGUGCAGCAGGCACCCAGCUACCUAGAAGCACAAUGACCAAGUAAAUGCAUGGUGUGGAGAAUAAAUAUCAUUAUCAAUGAUGAUCUUUUUUUCUGUUUCAAGAGCACGUUGGAAUUAAACAAGGUUAAUUCGAUUUGUUUUCAUCUUAGUUUUUGCUUUAUGACAACAUGUGUGCGCAUGCAGAUUGGCCUCUCGAAUCUAUGGAGUGCUGAUAUGUGUUGCUUGAUAUGAUGGUGUUGUGUUGAGGUGGGUUUGGGAUGUGUGCUCGGAGCGAAGGCAUUUGCCCUUCGCCGGGCCAACGAUGCUGACGCCUGUUGGUGCCACAUCCCUCUCUAUUGACUAUGAAGGACUGACUACGUUAAGCUCUUCCUCCAUAUAUGGAUUGUAGGUUGCUAGGUAGUUUUGAGACGUAUGUUGAUUUUAAAAUCUUAUGUUGUUUAUCACUUACUGGAUCUGUUUCUUCUUUCUUUCUUUUAUAUUUCCUUUUGAUAAGGUUGUGUGUUGUUGCAUAGGUGGCUGGAAUCUAAGCUUUGUUCAUCCAAAAGAAGAUGAUAUAAAACAACCAGAAAGAAACAAGGGGGGGGGGGGGGCGGUUAAUCUCCUUCCAAGGGGAUUGGAGGGGAUUUUGACUGGUAUGGGAUGUUUUGCAGGAGGAUGUGCACCUCAACAUAAGUAAUAUGGAAUCUGUGGGUACACUUUUGGCAACAUAUCUUCAAACCACAUUCUAUGCAACAAUAAUCUUGUGCAAACCAUACAUAGCUAUGCCCACCAUUUCUAGAACGAUGUUCAAUAGACUACCAUAUGCAUAUGAACGCGCACGAUGGAUAUUAGACACAAAACAUAGUAGUAGUAUAACUUGCACAAAACUACAUUUAUGAUCUUUUGUAUUUGAGCCAGGAAGUUCUUUCAAAACAUAACCCACAAGAAAGCACGCACUGGUCUUGUUGUGCACUACACGUUAGGUGUUGCAAUUGCAUAUAAUCUCUUUUAUUUAUUUAGUUUGAACAACCGUGCAUGGCUAGGCACUUCCGAAAGUCUUCACUUCAAGUACUUGUCAAACCAGUCCAUCAUUAGACCAAGAGCUUGCUCAACAGUUUUGACAGCAAAAGGGUCGGUGGUAUUAUAUCUGCAAGCAAAUCCAUGUGCAACUCCUGGAAAGACCUUGGCGUAGUAGGGAAUCUGCAAACAACCAAUGCCACAAAAAUGAGCUUUUCCAACUGAUAUAUAGUAUCCUCUAUGACGGAAUCACUAGGAACUCACCUCUGUUCUAUGACGCAAUACACUCACAUACUGGUACACUAGUUUUGGCGGUGCGACUUCGUCAUAUUGAGCUCCAAGGAUCUCGAUUGGACAUUUAACCUCUGUUUUGAAUGGUCAUAUAGUUAGCAUACGAAAUUAAGCACUUAAGUUCAGUUCCAAAGACAUCUCAAUCGAUGCUGUCUGGGAGGUUGCAAACACAAAGAAAAGGAGCAAACCUUUCAUGUCAUCAGUAGUCACAAUGUAAGGAUGAGAAAUGGAAACUACUUUAACAUCACUGGUUUUCCCCAUCUCUACACUAAACUUUCCUGUCAGUUACGCGGCAAUAGGAGAUAAGAAUUUUAUGCUCUGUAUGUUGCCUGAAGAAGGAUUUUGGAAGCUGGAAUUUCACUCACCACCCCAGCAAUAACCUCCCACCCCGAUGGACUUUCCUUCCUUUUUGAAAGCAGCAAAGAGUGGCUUGGCGUCUUUGGCAGCUUUUACCUGCCAGAUCGAUCGGAUACUCAAAUCAAUAUAUUUUCAACUCAUGAUGCAAUGAGCAUAAGAUGAAAUUUGAAAGGGACAUGGAACAGACCUGGGAGUGGAGCUUGAUCCACUCUGAAAUGUUUUUACUUGAGUCUAAAUAAUCUCCAUUGAAGAAAUCAGGCACCACAACAAAGUAUCCAGCCUCGCUAACUUUAUCGGCUAUCUGUCUGCAUCAUUAAAAGAUCAAGAAAGGGAUGAACAAUAGCUAGUACAGAGAGGGAUUCUUGCGUCGUUGUACUCCAAACAAAAUGCAAUCUAUCUCAUAUGAGAAUUAACUUUCACCGGAUUGUCUUUUUUGGGAAAAAAAAACUGUACUGUAUUUUACUCUGUACAGAAGCACAAAGCAUUGUUAUGUUUUUUAAAAAAAGAUAGUCAAAUAAAAUUUGCUCUAGUUCUUCAAAGUCUCUAAAAUCAUCUGUUGAUAUUUAAAAGCAUUUUGCUAUGGUUAUGAUUGCGUUGCUACUUGCUACAAGCAUCAUAAGGGAGUACUAAGCAGGAAAAAUCGAAAGCAUGCCAGCCGAAUGAUCUAGUUCUUCAAAGUCUCUAAAAUCUGGAGAGAUGCUAGUUGACCAAGAACAGAGCAUUUUGAUCUACGAUAGUAAGCCAGAGUAGAGCAAGAAAGAACACAAAAUUUGGGAAUUAAAAGACCGUAGAUAUAUUUAUGUAGGUGCCUCGAAUCCUGAGAAAAUCAAUCAAAAAGUGGAGAAAAAUUUCCUGUCAAAACGUACGCCCAAAUUGACUAGAAACUGCAGAAGUGUAGUACUACGGUCGAAACACCAACCGAAAACAUCGGAGGCGAGGACGAUGGCGUGGCUUGAGCUUGCGGCUGAAGGACCGAAAGGGCGAUCAGAGGGGGGUGAAUGGGAACCUAUAAAAAUUCUCAACAAGAACAAGGCCUAUGUCCCAAAUACAACCCCAAAGCACACAACACGUUGUAUCGUCAAGAUGACGCAAGUCAACUCGUGACAAGCUCACCCUAGGAACGAUACACGUAUCAUAUCAUGACAAAUCUCAUGAUUUUCAGACUUUGCUUGCUUUUUUUACAAUUUAAAAAUCAUUCGGUCACACGUUCGUGAUCGUGUUUCCUGAACAAGAUGUUUGAAAUUUCUUUUUAUUUCAUGGGUCAGGUCUCAAAUUGGGUUAAAUAAUAUGAAUAUCAUUUUUCUACUCAUUUUAUUCUAUAAUUUGAAUCACUUGCAGUUCAAAUUUGACUUAUACCAAAAAUUUCCUUUAAAUACAAUUAAUUAAUUAAAUAUAGCAAACAAAUUCAAAAAUAUACCAAAUUUUAACAUGGAGUACCACAUGUUGUAUGUGGGGAGUAGAAAAAAUCUCAAGGUUAAAAGGGAAAAAAAACUUAUUAUUUGUCGAGUGUCAAAAAAACACUCGGCAAACCCCCCUCUUUGCUGAGUGUUUUUUUCUUGACACUCGGCAAAGUCCCUCUUUGCCGAGUGUUUUUUUUUGACACUCAGCAAAGCUCCUUGUUUGCCAAGUGUUUUUUCUUUGCCGAGUGUUUUUAGCUUGGCACUCGGCAAAGAGCUUGUUGCCGAGUGUCGAAAAAAACACUCGGUAAAUUUGCGGUUUCCGUAGCGAGAGUAGUUUACAAAAUCAGGCAUCAUGACGCAACAAUCAAUGAAAAUCAAGAAGCAGAAAUAUGACAGUUAUUUUGAGUAGUUUUUAACAUGAUCAUCUAAAGUUUGUCUCUUUCAUUGGCAUAGUUGGCCACUUCCUCGUCCGAGGCCACCAUUGAUCAUGCAUUCAUGCCUAGGGAAAUCCGGCCCAAGUGUACAGUCCAAUAGCCCAUAUGCAAAGAAAAUCCGAAUCGACUAAACCUACUGCGAUCCUAGCCGCCUCCGAUCUCCGAGAGGAUCCUCAGCAUGUUGCUGCACUGUUUGUAAGGGCGCUUUGCUUCACCCUACGGGUUUGGUGCAUAAUUCUCGAGCUGCAAUGUUCAAGUUUGCACAAAGAACGAGCACAUAUGCGAUGUAGCGGGGUGUGUAUUCACCUUAAAUAGAGGGCAUAUUUUAAAGUGUGUGGGAUCCAAUAUUGGUCAACUUGACAAGAACAGAUAUUCACUGCUGUGCAAAUUUUUUCCAUCUGGAUGUACGAAAAUAUUAUUCUUAUUUAUUUAUUCGAAACAGUCAUGUGCAGAUAAGACAUGUCUUCACUACAAGUAUUUGUGGAACCAGUCGAGCAUGUAAGCAAGAGCUUUUUCAGCGCUUUUAACAGCGAACGGGUCGGUGGUAUUGUAUCUGCAAGCAAAUCCAUGGGCAACUCUUGGGAAGAUCUUGACAAAGUACUCAAUCUGCAAGAGAGGUAAUGUCAUAUAAACGGGUGAGGUUCUGCCAAGAAAAAUUCACAUGUGCAGGUGCAUUGGUAUUGAGUGCCACUAAACCCAGCAAGAAGCCAAGAAACUCACAUCCAUUCUUUCACGCAAUUCUUGCUCGAACUGACGCACUUGUUCCUGCGGUGUGAUUGUGUCGUUUUGAGCUCCAAGGAUCUCAAUUGGCCAUUUGACCUCUGAGUUUUAAGUGAGCGCAGUUAGCACACGAACAGAAUACUAGUCAUACACAGUGUGCCUAAUAAGUAUGGUAAGAAACACACACCUUUCAUAUCAUCAACAGUCACAUAUGCAGGAUGAGAAAGGACAACUACUUCUGUAUCGUCAGUUUUUGCUAUCUCGGCGGCAAAUUUUCCUGGCAAAUAAUCAGAAAAAAGGUAGAAAUUAGCAUGUUUUAUGUCUUGCCUGAAGAAGAAUAUUGAAAAAUAAAAUUCCAGUAGGGCCAAGCUACUGAAUUGUAGUGAUUGCUGUCGAUUUCACUCACCCCCCCAGCAGUAACCUCCAACCCCAAUAGAUUUUCCUUCGUUUCUCAAAGAAGCCAAGAGUGGCUUGGCAUCUUGAGCAGCUGUGACCUGUAGGAUCGAUCGACAUUGCAAUCAAUUUAUUUGCAACUAAUGAUGCAAUGCAAGAUUUUGUUAAAGAUUCGUUAUGUUAUCAUUUGACUAGAAAUUGAAAUUAAUUAUCCCCGGUGAACAUGAACUUACUGGGGAGUGAGAUUUGAUCCAUUCUGAAAGGAUUUUACUGUCGUUGUAAGGAUCGCCGUGGAAGAAAUCAGGCACCACAACGUAGUAUCCUGUUGCGGCAACUUUAUCGGCUAUGUUUCUGCAUUAUUACACAAGCACUGGUACUAAUUAUAUUUUAACUAGCGAACAAGGCUGAAGUGCCAUGUCAUUUUAGUUUCUAAAACAGAGCCGAACAUCGUUUAAACAACUAAAUUAAAGUAGAUUGCCGCGGUAACGGCCUCUCUGCUGCUUUGGUCAGGGAUUUAUUUACUGGUAACUGGUUUAAAUUACUAGAAGUUUGAGCUGAAAUCAUUUUGAAAUAAAAUUGGGCCUAUUUUCUCGGUUUGUAAGUGUUUCUGAGAGGCAAAGCAAGCUGCCAUGUUUGAUGACAGACCUAUCCAUACCAGAACUACAAUCAAGUCUUCCAAAAGGCUAAAACUUCAUGUUUCCAGUCAUUAGUGCAAUAUAGUGUUUCAAUAAUGUGAGUGUAAGUAGAAAUAUAAAAAAAAACCAUACAUUGCCCAAACAAAAAACUCCAGUUCAUCAAGCUGAAAACAGCUGACUACACCAUGGAGCUUCCUAUGUGUUUUACUAGUUUUUGGGAAGCAAGGAUAUCCCUGUGUAUAAUCUCUUUAUACUUGUUAUUAAGUCACAAAAGUUUCAUCUUAAUGUUUCUAUCUGAUUCUAUUUCCAUCUUGUUUUUAAAUAAAAAAUCUCAUGUUCUACCAUGUUUCAGGAAAGGAAACGUUCACUUAUCAACUCUUAACUAUUGCCAUGCUCUGUUUUUCAUCUCAUUGUGCCUGUCCGGUUUUCAAUCUCCAACUUUAAAACUUUCUAAAAGACUACCUUCAACUCAGAACAAAACCAGGGUGCUUUUGGAUGAUGUGGCCUGGUUUUGUCUGCUGGUGUAUGCAUGUGUACAAGUAGUACACUGAUCAGUACAAAACAGCAAGCAAAAUACAAUAACUGCUGGGACAAUAUAAUAUAACAUCCUCUAAUUUCCCUUCUUCCACCUCUCUCUCCCCCUCAAAUUAAUUUUUUAGCAACUUCGUUCAUCAGCAUACUAGGAUUCCAUCAUUUCUUUGGGAAUCGCGUUGUUUCCUAUAUUUUUGUGCUGUAUUAGAAAUCGUAAGGAACUUGAAUUCAAGAACUUAAAACCAUUUUUUAUACCUCAGUAUAGGUGCCUCGAACCCUGAAGAAUAUUUGUCGAAAGAACAGAGAAUAUAUUUCAGUCAGACAAACCACAAAAAUAACCAUCAACCAAACUGAACGUAAAUUUGCACUAGAGGAGUGUGAAGCUGGCCGGCUGGACCAACCGUAGACAUCCGAGGCGAGGACGAUGGCACGUAUGGACAUGGAGGGGCCGGUGACAUAGGCCCUGAACCCCCCUGGAAGGUCGUCUACAACCUUGCCAGCUUCAACGCCGCGCAACGACAGGUCCGGCGGGUUGUCGAGGCACUGCGAGUGCUCGUCGUGAACGGUCGCCGCCGCGACUAGCACCACGGCGAGGCAGAGGAAGAGCAGUGCGGCGGAGCUCAUGGCGCUUCGACAGGAGGUUCUCUUGCUAGGUUGUCUCCACCGCUGCUGCGUUGCGUUUGUUUAUAUAGCACGAGGGCCGACGGCAUGGUAGGCUAGGUUGCCUCCACGUCGCCGUCCGGCGGCCGGCUGCUUUUUCUACACGAAAGCGAGCGGAACGGAAGCUGAAAGCGCUCGAUGAAUUUGAGUGAAAUACUCCAUGUGGUAUCUCUGGUGUACAGUUCAUGUACUACCACUAGCCUUUAUAAGCCCUCCUGUAGUUCUGCUCUUAGGUGGUCCAUUAAGCAAAGGAUUUGAGCCCUUGGACGCGAAGCUCCUCGCCGAUCUAUCUCUUGUUUCUACGGCAAAAGUACAUGGAAGGCUAUAACUUUGGCCGUGAUUAGGACAUCAAUAUGAGUUCUGACUUUAGGUCGUCUGACAAAAAAUAUGAGGAAUUUUUGUAAGAGGGGGUGUUUGGUUUCUCGAGCUAAAGUUUAGUUCGUGUCACAUCGAAUAUUCGGAGGCUAAUUAGGAGAACUAAAUAUAAGUUAAUUAUAAAACUAAUUGCACGUAUAGAGGCUAAACGACGAGAUGAAUCUAUUAAGCCUAAUUAAUCCAUCAUUAAAGCAACACAUUGUCAAAUCAUGGACUAAUAAGCUUAAUAGAUUCGUCUCGCCGUUUAGCCUCCACUUAUGUAAUGGGUUUUGUAAAUAGUCUACGUUUAAUACUUCUAAUUAGUAUCUAAACAUUCGACGUGACGGAGGCUGAAGUUUAGGGUGAGGAGCCAAAAACCCCGGAAGUUUAUGGUUCGUUCGUUGACAUUUGUGGCAAUGCUGUCCUUCCAGGCACAUUGACAUUUAUAUUUCGUACAUAACUAGCAAGAUGGAGAUGGCCCGACGCAAUCUGUGUGGCUAGUUUUAGUACCCUUCAAUGCAAAUUCUCAUUUUUUUCCUCAAGCCAAAUUAAGUAAAAUUUAUUCGAAAACAAUUACACAAAAGGUGCAGUCCCAAUGAAUUCAUGCCGUAAGAAACGAUUUCUCGCGCAGCUUCUGUUUGGCAACUUCCGAUGCCCAUCAGCACAAUGUUGAGUCUACGGCGCGCGCUGCAGCGCCCCGCGGCGCACGACGCGGAGGGUGGGUCUCAUGUGACCCCUAUUUUAAGUACAGGGCUGGAUACCGAGACGUAUCUGACAUGAAAGUUAUAUCACAGGACGGGCAUAGUCUACGUAAUAAGAUAGUAACUUGUCGAGGAUCAGGAAAAGUACUUGUAGCAAUCAGAGUAGGACUCGCCUAGUCGAAUCCGACUAGUAUUCAUGUAAACAAUUGACCUUAACCCUGCCCCCAGCAAUAUAAGGCGAGGUAGGGAUCCUCUCUAAAGUAAUUCAAUCCAAUCAACACACAGGAUGUAGGGUAUUAUGCAAUCUAGCGGUCCGAACCUAUUUAAAUCGUGUGUCUGUGUUCACUUUCGAGUUCCUAAUCUCGGCGAGCCCCGUUAACUAAAACACUACUUCGGGCACCCCCUCGGUGGGUUGCCGGGUCUAAACACCGACAACCCCACCAUGUGCUGGCCCACGCAUUUUUUUUUCUUUUCAAUUAUUUUUUCUAUACCAAAUAAAUAUUGUAUAUACAUAUAAAUUUUGCAUAAUUUUUUUAACAACAUUCUCUCAAAAGUUAUGACAAAUAUUAUGCGUAUAAGUUAUGUAUAUCAUGAAAGUUGUAUUACGAAAUUUAUCACCUAAAUUGUUGUUAUGAAAAAAGUUAUGCGUACAAAUUGUGCAUAUAGGUUACAGCUUUCUAAAAACACUAGGAUCGUGCCAGUGCGUUACUACGGGCAACAAAUAUUUAUAUUGAAAUACACAUAGUAACUUGCAACAUCAAUCCAAAACAAGACAUUCAACACUCCAUUUAUGGGUUUAACGUACUUUCCAAUUAUAUUGUUCUGUUAUAGUCUCAGCUGUGAAUUUAAUGAGCUAGAAAUCAAGCUUUCUUUUAAGUUUCACGGAUUUCAGACCGAGUUGAGUUGGACUACCUUUUGCUCAAACUGUGAUUGUCCCUAUAAAUUAUUUUAAUUAAUCUGUUUGAUAUGCAACUCAAAAGAAUAGAGCUAAUAUAUGUACUUAGCAUGGCCAUCCUGUUAAACAUAAUUGUUGCCAUGAAAAUAAUGCAUUAUGUAUUACUCCCUAGCUACUUUGUAGUGGUCAAUAUCAAAUAUCUUCUUGACGACCUGACAGACUAAGUGGCCAGAUGGGAUGAUCUUCAGUCCAUCCGACAACGAAAUUUUAGAUCUAUUGCCAUUAGCAAUAUAUAGGCUUGGCAUAUCUCAUGCAUUCACAAAGAAAUCUGGACUGUAUAAGAGUACCUUCCUUGAAUGAUCCACUGAGCGAUUAUUACUUGUGCCAUGCAUUCACAAAGAAAUCUGGACUGUAUAAGAGUACCUUCCUUGAAUGAUCAUUACUUGUUCAACCUGCUUAAAGAAAAUGAUUAUUUGGCCUAACAGUAAGGUUACAACACGAAAAUAAAGCUAACAAGUUGGAGGUAAAUUCAGUUAGGAAAUUUGAGAUGCCGUAGAUUUAGGUAAUUGUAAACUGAUCAAUCCUCAGGUUGGAGACAACUACUGUGCAAUUCAGGUAAUUGUAAACUGAUCAACUACCAAUUGUUCAGAUGCCGCAGAGGUCCAUCUAGCAGUCAGGUAUUUUAGUCCAUCUGACCACAAGAAUGAAACUCACCUGGAGCCCUGGGUGACAGCGUCCCCGUUCUCGUGCUCCUGGCGGCACGCCGACAGGGUGGCGUAGGCGUUCACCUCUUGACCAGCGCGCUAGGCCUUGACCUCUUGAUGUUCAAUAUCUAGGUCUGACUGUAAAAAAGAUCAAUAGAUAUAUUAGAUAUAUCGGUGUUGUCAUUACAUUACAAUGGUAAUCUGAUACCUUACAUGCAUACUCUGACAUGUAGUUUGUAGCAUUAGGCUUAUAAUAGUUCUCCAUCAAUAUUAGUGGGUCAUAAAACUGAUAAAAAUGGAGAUUAAGGAGUACUGCACACUAUCUUCAGUAUAUAUAAAGAACAUGAUAAUCUGAAACUUCCCAACUGAACAUCAUCGCUGACUGAUCAAGUUCGUUACUGAAUCAUAAACUAUGAAUGUGAGGCCUGUGUCUCUGAAGCAAGAUCGCUACACAUCAUUGCUGGCUGAAACCAGUCAAUCAACAGAGUCUAGCACAUGGGAAAAAAAAAGCAAAGAGUAAUAACUUGGUGAAUAACAAAACAUCGUCAGAAAAGAAGAAAAGAAAAAGGAGCGGAUGAAAUUCUUAGCAGAACAAUAUAAUGUAUGGAAUACUCCAUCAGUGUACUUUCAUCAUGGUCGACAUGUUCAAUACAUAAGCAUUUCCAUGUCUCGAUUUUAUCAGUCUAGCUCGUAUUUCACUCACAUAAGGGGAUUUUUUACCAAGCAAAAGCAGCAAAAGACCAUGAAACCUUAUUAUUACUGACAGGAUAUGAAAAUACCAUAUGUAUGUGGGGAAAAGGAUGCAGACUCCAAAUUGGUCCCUGCCAUGAGCUGUGUAGCCACCCAGCCAUCCCCAUAUAUUUUCUUCAGGUUUGAACACAAUACUGGUUGCUGCACUUCCCAGGAUGGGUACUUGUGGAGGCCAUGCUAAUUAGCGAUCAAUACCUGUUGCCUGCACGAACAUAAUCCCAAGCUUUAAAAAUGAUAUUUUCAUAAAAUUGAGUCAGAAGCAGGUCUAUAUAAAAAAUGUGUAACUGACGUACAAGUGAUUUGCUUGGCUAAUGCAGGGAGCCCAUGUAUGAUAGCGAAACAAAAUUAUAGCACUUUGGAAUUGUGCGUUACAAUACAUGAAAAACAAUUAUAGUACAUGCUCAUGCCUUCAUCGAAGACAUUCUCGUGCCACUUAGUUUUUUUAGGAGAGAUUGAAAGCACUAAGAAUAUUUUUCACAAAGUUUAGUACUUAAAACUUCCAAUUGAUAAAUUUCAGCAAUCUUGGUAACAAUCGCUCUUCCAAAUACUAUUGUACUGUUAGUUGACCAUUGUGCCCUAAUAGUUAAACUUCCCCAUAAGACCAUAGUAACAGCAAGUAAAUAAACAUGCAUGUAAUCUUUCAUUGUGGCCAAAACUCCUUGAAUUCUUAAAAAAAUGAUUGGCUCUGAUGUCACACCCGGUUUUAAAACAAAACCAAGUGCUAUCUAUAUGUAUGUCAGGAUCUAGUUUCAUAUAUUGUAACAUCAUUAGUGAAUAACAACAACAGUAUCACGUAAAAAGAUAAAAAAAAAGACUUACAAGACUAUCAGAGACACACAGCUUAAAUAUUGGAAACGUAGGCUCCAAACUUCACAGGCACUCAACUGGGGGUUGCGUACGCCUAGAACUCAGCACCAUCUUCACAAUGACUUCAUAGCAGCUUCAUCUUCUAAGCAACGUUGAUUAUAGCAAGGGUGAGCACAUGUCGUACUUAACAAGUGUGGGGAAGAUAUGAAUGCAAGGUUUAAACAAGGAAAGGCUGACUGGUUGACUGCAUUAAGCAUUUUUAGUUGGUCAAAUUUUAUUAGCACCUGAUUACUAAGGUAUAAGUAUGUACCAACCCACAAUUAAGCAUAAAGCACCAACAUUAUCCAAGGAACCAUAAUUUAUUCUCAUCUUUAAGUUCAAUUAUCAUGUGAGGGUCCAGGCCAUUCUUAACUGUGAGCACGGCUGAUAUAUCAGUUUUACACUCUGCAGAGGUUGCACAUCUUUGCCCACAAGUCGUGUAAAAGUUCAAAAGAGCUUUAGACCCAAUCAUGCUGUGCUGAUCAGGCACAAUACUACACUUCCGAGGUGUGAUUGCAUAGGAACGCUACAAGGCCUUUAUAAAGAUUCUCAAGUAAGUGGUAACCCGCUAAGGUUUUCGGAUCAGUAGUGUGCAUAAACCCCUCUCAGGACUGCGAAGCUUCCAUAAAGCAGAUCAGUCUAAGGGGCGGGUUAUACACCAUCAACCGCCACCCCUUUUACCCUUUCGGUAAGAUUACCCCGGAUUAGAGUCUCUAAUUAAUUAGCUAAGAUAAGAGCCACGAUAGUUCUCGUGGUUGUACUGUUUUUCUGGGUGGUUCUCCAUGUUCCGAUUAAAUCAAGUGAUCUUGUAUUAAUACGCGUAUAGCAUAAAUAAAAGUCAUGAUUAAUAUUUAAGUUCAUUAAGAUCAUCAUAACCAAGUAUAGCAGCUAAGCAUAGCUACCCAACAGAAUCAUAAACCUAGGUUGACAAGGAAUGAUUAUAAAAAUUAGGCAAACCUUAAUAGGACCCAUCAAAUUAAAUGCAGGCAUAUGCAAUAGUGAUUAAUAAAGUUAUUGGGACAAAAGCACAAGAACACACUUACUUUUCUCCAACGACAAGUUACUCUUAUUGCUCUUCGGUUCUUGCUCUCUUGAAACUCUUACUCUUCAAAGCUUCUGAACAACGAUCCUUCUACUCUAAGCAAACAUCGGCAACAAACAAACAAGUACAACUUAAAACAAUAAAAAAAAGACUUUAAAAAAGCGUACUAAAGGACAAGGCUUGAUCUAAGGGAGCGCUAAGAACGAAACUAUCGAGACGCUUGAUUCAUAAAAGAAAUAAAGACUAUAUGUUUGUUUCAUGUUAAUUAAAUAAAAUAUGCACAUAGGUUAUUUUAGAGAAAUACCCUAUUUGGAAUUAAGCAAGUUACAUUCAAUUAUUAAAAAUACGGUAAACUUAAUUAUAUUUUAUUUUAAAAUAUUCAAGUACGAGUUAUGUCAAUUUAACAAUUAACUUUAAAAAGAGUAUAAGACAUCCAAUCCAAUAACUUUGUAUUUCGUGUUAAACAAGAUUAUUGAAAACACGGUAAACUUGAUUAUAUUUUAUUUAUAAAUAUUCAAACGCGAAAGGUACGGGCUAAACAAGAUUAUAGGGACCUAAACGCGAUUAAUCGUAGACUACAAGGGUUAGCAAGAAAGAUUACCAAGACACAAAGAAUAGAGCCGCGAAAAGCUGAAAACUCGGGGUUAGAUCUGCAAAAGGUCAAGGCUUGGAUUAGAUUGCAAGGAUCUGGAAAGUUUGAGGUUUAUUCUGUGAAACUGCAAGACACAAGAAGGAGCAUAAGAAUUACAGGAUUUUCAUGGGCUUCUUCGCAAAACGGAGCCUUAUCUUCUUCUUCCAGCUCCUGCUCGCUCCGCUCGUGUGGCCGAUCAGAUUAUCGGCGGCGGUUGCUGGCCGGGCCAAGGGGGCAGGGCGCGCGCGGCUGCGGCGGCGGUGGCGCGCCGGCGCAGCAGGCGGCCAGGAAAGCAGCGCAGGCAGCGGCUCGGCGCAGGGGCAACACAGGCGGCGGCGGGCGCGGUUAAGCAGAGGCGAGAAAAGGCGGCGGCGGCGAUUUGAGAGGCGGCGGCGCUUGGUGGGGCGAGGAGGCGGAAAAGGGUGGGGAAAGGGGCUCUGGUGGCGGCGGGGCGUUUUAUAGGGGCGGAGGAGGGAGCUGAGGCGGCGGCCGGCCAUAAAUGGCGGCGAUUUGGUGCGGGCGGCCGUUUCUGAUGGGGAGAGGAAACGAGGGGGCGAGGCGGCGCGUGCGCGGGGGAAGGGGAGCGGGUGCGGGACGUGGAGCAGCGCGGGAGAUGGAGCGGUGCAGAGGACGCCGGGGAGGAGCCGCGACGCGGCGGCGGCCGGUAGAGAUCGAGCAGCAGGAGCGGUCGGAUGAGCGCCUGGCCUGAGGAAGAAGAAAAACCUGCAGGUGGGGCCCACCUGGCAGUGGAAGGGAGAGAGGAGGAGAGAUGGCGGGCCAAGCUGGGCCGGAAGCUGGGCCACGGGGGAGAAAGAUGGGAGUUGGGCCGGUGCAGGGUGGAAAGAGGGAAAGGGAGGUGGGCCUGUGGGAAAGGCCAGAUGGGCCGGGCGAACGGAAAAUAAAAGUGGACCGCGGUCUGGUUGGGCCGAUUUGGGUCGGGCCCAAGGCUCGGCCCAAAAGGAAAAGAAAAGAUAGAUUAUUUUCAGAAAUUAUUUCACGUGGGAAUAUAUAUCCAGAAAAUUCUAGAUAAAUAAUUUAAACCACGAAAAAUAUUCUGAAAAUCCCAAAAAUUUAAGAAAAAAUCCCAUGAGGAAUGUAAAUAAAAUAUUUGGAGCUCAUGAAAAAGGAUUUUAGAACUAUCCCAAAAUUGGAUUAAGCUCAAGAAAAAAAGAGAAUAAAUUCCAGUAAUGGCUGAAAAAUUCUCAGAAGGGUUUAGACAAUGUCUAAAUGCAUUUUUGAAACUUUUUUACUCAAGAAACAUCAAGAUGCAACGGCAUGAAUGCACAGAUAGAAAACAACAACCUUAUUUAAUUCCAAAAACAAAUAAUUAUUUUUCCUAUACUAAAUUUCCUAUGAAGAAAAUAAAUAUUAGGAAAAAUUUAAUUAUAAAAAAUUAUUGUUUAAUUAUUUCUUUUUAAUCAUAUUCUAAAAUUCAAAAAUUUCAAAGGUAUGACAUCUAAGUACUCUAAUGAAACCAGUUUAGAAAAUACAGUUCAGUAACCUGCUCUUAUGAAGACUGCAUAUGAAAAAAAUAGUACCUUCCGAGGGUUACACCUACAUAACAUCAGUGAGAGAUACUUAGCUUCUAGCAUACACAUGUUCAGAAGCAGUUCUUUGCAGGCCAAUAAGGCAUCCAUUAAAAUACUUAGCACCAUGCAUUGCUUUGUGUCAGGUUGUCCCGGUACAAAAUAGAAAAAAAUAUUUUUCAUUUAGCAAACAUGUCAGAGAAGCAAAAUUCAGAAAUGAUGUGCAGUGUCACCAACAGGUCAAAAAAGUAAGGACAAUCUAUAAUUGUGGUCAUGAAAUUAUGCAUCAUCCGCGAACACAAAAGCCAGUCAUCAACUAUUUACAUGGUAACCCUGAAUUAUUUAGAUUUACUUCCUACAUGCAUAAAAAUAAACCUCUCAUGAUUUCGUUGGACAUCACAUAUCAAAAGGGAGAAAAAUGAAACCUAAGACAAUUGAAUCAUAAUGAUUUUUUUCUAUGUGGAAGUAGAUAAUUUCCUUAUCUUUCAGACAGCCACUCCAGAAACUAAUCAUACAAUCAAAUUUAGUUAGAAAUUUAGAGCAUGCUAGCACAGAACAAUAGGAGCUAUGAAUUUACACAUGCUAGCUGUAGAUUGUCUAGAAAAAUCGAAAACCAAAUACUUGAUGCCAGCAGAUCUAAAGAAUCAUUGUGUUUUAGGAACACCCACCGAUCGGAGCAGGCAACAACGGAGCUGCCUUGGGGCCGCCAUCGACUUGGAGCUCCUUGUUGAGCCGCACAGAGAAGGAGCGGCAGCGGCGUCAUCGUGGGGGUGUGUUGAGCGCAGGGAAGGGCCAAUUUUGAUUCUGGGUAGGAUGACGUACAAACGUAGGGCAAAGCGGAUGGGAGGGAGCAAUUUUCCCGUGCGUGGAGAGAAGACUGAUUGAUCCAAGGGUGGAGGCUGUGUUCCGCAUAGAGAACCGUGAAAUGGAGGGCCGAGGUUGCUUGGAGCGAGGGCCAUCGGGCGACGACGGUCAUUUGACGGACCAUAGAAACGUUGCCCGUUUGGUUUUUUAGGAGUAGAGAAAAUUCGAAGUUAUUCUUACAAAUUGUACCUAAAAGUUGUACACCUAAUUUUUGUGCGCUAUUGAAGUUGUGCUAAAAAGUUAUCUCAUAAAAAAUUAUAUUAUAGAGUUAUGCAUCGUAUUUAUAUGUAUAAGUUAUGAUUUCCACAAAUGGAAAGUUGUGGGAUUUAAAACUUUCCCAAAAUGGAAUGUUUGGGGGGAAGGAAGGAGCUGUCUAGAUUCGCUCGCCAGGAGGGCUCCUAGUGCGCGAGCGCUAAUUAGCACUGCGCGCCUAUCAGCAUGUUAUUUUUUAAACAAACUGGGCAGGAGAGCUGCCGAUUAUAUUAAAAAGAAGAUGAAACCCGGGCAAUACAACUAAUGGAAAAAAAUAACGAGUUGAAUUGGGACAUCAACACACGUUGAACUCAACUCAACUAACGAAACAACUCAUGCCGAUUCGAUUGAGACAUCGACACGAGUCGCAACAACUCUAACUAGUCAGAUUGGGAUAUCAACACAGGCCGCACAACGUCAUCACACCACUCAACUCAAACUUAGCACCACCACCACCACCACCACCAAGAACUCUUCCGCAUUCUUGGAGAUCCAGCCCCACUUCCAACUCUUCUGCAUGUUCUUCUGUGUCAAGCCGUAGCCUAAGAGGGAGCACACAGUAGUCGGAGGGGUUGGAAUCCAAAUGAGGGAGAAGGUGAAGGGCCUCUAUUUGGAGUACGAGUUGAUUGACUCGCAUUCUGGGUGGAAAGAGAGGUGGUGCUAUAUUGGCAACUAUGAGCCCAAACUCCCUAAGGUGACAGGCCACCGCCCGACGUGGAACAAUAGGUGGCUAGAUGUGCCAAGUCACAGAGAUUAUUUGCAACUACCUGACCUUCUUGAUAGAAUUGCCAGAUUGAAACAAUAAGGUCUAACGAGAGUUGGGGUAGCCUUCAGCUUCAUAAAGAGGCGAGGUAAGCCCCUGCAAUUGCGGUGCACAUGGGGCUACGACUACUUGAGCCCCAAUGAUCCAUCCCGGAUGUCACCAAAAGAACUCACCAUGGAUGAGAUCAUGGAGCAGUUCAGGUGCUUGUUCAAGCAUGCCAGCAAGUGCCUGUUCAAGCAUGCCAACAAGACCCCAACGAUUGUGCAGGAUCAUUGCACUGCCAACCCACCAAGCAAUGUAAGUACCCGUGGCCACAGCCCUCAAGUACUAAUUGUUGUAUCUAUUGAUGUUCUGACUUGUCUUCCUAUGCAGGAAGAUGUACACUUGUUUUGCUCUGCUCCUCCUCCUCCUGGAUCAAAUGACUCUGAUGCCGCUCCACACGUACACACGGCUACAAGUGUAUAGAGAGAAGUCGAGGGGGAGUAAAAGGAAAUUGAGUCUUUCAGCAGCUCCUACUCUGAAGCUACUAAAGAAUUCAUGCUCAAAGCCCGGCCAUUAGACAAGGCUGGGUCUUCCUCCGGGUCACCAAAGCAUGCGGCUGAUGAUCUGGAGGCUAGACUGGCGGCACCGCCAAAGCGACGCUCUGCUCUUGCAGUGUUUCUUGCUCGCCGUUGAGUUUUUUGAGCUUCAGUUUCUUUUCCGACGAUGUUGAUGGUGAGCUUAUCCUACGAGAUGUCAUCUCGGUGACGUUCAUGUCAUGGAUUCCUUUCUUGUUGCUCUUCAUCUUCUCCUUCUUGCGCAUCAACAAGGGUGAAGAGUUCCCGCUCCGGAGAAUAGCUUCCUGAACUUAACGUGAUGACCUCUGUGGAGCCAUCUUUUUUGUAGAUGGGAGACAAAAGAAGUUCCCUUCUAGUACAGGAGGGUAUCAAGGUAGGCAACAAGGUGUGACUCGUCAUUCUUUGCGAGAGCAGGUGGCUUCAUGUUGGCCCAGUAGAUGAAUCUGUCUUGUGGAGUUGAGGUAAUCACAAGGCCUUGUUGUGGGUCUGAUAAUGGAGUCCUCUCAUCCGGAUUCGAGUAGCAGUAAAGGUCCUCGAUCCAAUCCAUGUUGAAUUGUGAUCUGGAUAGGGUAGCUUGAUAGACAAUACCCGUGUUUCGGAGUCCGAACGCGAAUCGACUUGAGUCAUAGACCGAUUCGCAUGAUGGCUUAAGCGCCGGCUCAUGAAAACCAGUCCGGCUAGUGGGAGAAGUUGAGCUGUACUCGGACUAGUCCCCCCAGCCUCUGACUAAGUCAAGAAUUGAAAAUUCGCUGAAUUUCUCGACGAGAUCCUCCAAAGCUUGGCGCUGGAGGUUGAUGGUAUGCUGUUUCUUCUCUACGACCGACACAAUGUGGCGGUGGAAGUUUCCAACACCAUCUGCAACGCAAACCCAGGAGCUGAAGACGAACGUCGCGUCUGCUUUGAACGCGAUGGUGGACUUGAUGAUGACUUGGGCCAUCGAGUUCGUUAGUGGAUUCUCAGCGAGAGCCCUUAUUUCGUGUGCCAGCUAUCGGUGUUUAGACUCGGUAACCUACCGAGGGGGGUGCCUGAGGUGGUGUUUAGUGCGUGGGGCUCACCCAGAUCAGGAACUGGAAGGUGAACUUGAACACAUAAUUUAGACAGGUUCGGGCCGCUAGAUUGCGUAAUACCCUACGUCCUAUGUGUUAGUUGUAUUGAAUUGCUUUGGAGGGGGUCUCCACCUCACCUUAUAUUGCUAGGGGCAGGGCUACAGGUCGUUUGUUUACAAGAAUACUAGUCGGAUUUGACUAGUGAGUCCUACUCUAAUUGCUACAUGUAGUUACUUAAUCCUUGACUAGUUCUUGUCCUCCACGUAGACCACGCUGUUCUGCACCGUAGUCUCCAUGUCUGACACGUCUUGGUGUAUAGCCCUGUAUCUAGGACUGUCCAAACCUUCUAGUGGGCACAUAGAUAUAUGUACAACAAGCACAGUGAAGAUCUAACGAACGCCCACCCGGGAAGGACCCCGUCAGAGUAGGCGCACCUUGGGUUGCCCUAGGCUCGGCAAGAACAACACAUGGGGUUGGAAAAGUAGGGCAAAGAGGAAAAAAGGUAAAAGUAAAAGAUAGAUUAGUUUUUGAUCAGUUGUGGCCCUUUAUAUUUAUAGUGAGGGGAGGUCUUGCCCCGUUGGAAGUCGAAACCCUAACAAAUCUCAUGCAAAAAUACAACUCCUACUCGGACUCUACAGGUCCAAACCGGUCCGACCUAUCUCCUCGGGGGCAGAUAUUCCCGAGGUCAUAACCCUCUCUUCCGAACUUCAAAUUGGACGUUCUAUAUAUGAAUUUUGAUCUACUCAACAAGAGAUACACAAUGGUGAACUCCAAUUUGUAUUUGUAGGACUUUGAUCAAACUGGUCUGACCGAUUGGAAGACCGGUUCAAAAACCUACUUGUCCAGAUCUGCUAAUUUUGACCAUCAAUAGGUAAUAAUUAAGAAAAUAUCAUUGAGGUAAGAAUUAAGAAAAUAUCAUUUCCCUUCUCUCAAAUUUCAUUUUAUUUGUGUGCAUGUGUUACUAAUUUUGUGUGUGUUAUUUCACUACUAUGGAAUGGACCUUUCGUCCACUCCCUUAGUACCGGGUGCAUUUGAAUCCGGUACUAAUAUUAGCAUUAGUACCGGCUCCAAAUUUGGAAUCCCCCGAACCCUCCACCCAGUACUAAAGGUUUCCAUCUACGCGCCUAGCCCCCUUAGUGCCUGUCCUUAUCCUCAGCUCCCUCCGCUCCGCUUCCCUCAUCCUCAUCUUUUCUCCUUCUACUCCCUCUCCCUCUCCAGGCCACUAGCCCCCUCCCUCCCUCCCCUCUCCUCCCCCCUCCACUCGCCCCUUACCUCGUGCCUGAGGCGAGGAGCAGCGGUAGGGUGAGGCGCAGCGGUGGCCAUCGGGGCGCGGCAGGGAGCGGCGACGAGGUGAGACGCGGCGGCAGAGCGGGCACGGAGCAGCUGGCGGGCGGGAGCGCAGCGGUGGCGGAGCGGCGGGUGGGUGGCCAGGGGUAGCGGGGCUGGCGGAGGGCGGCAACGGCGGGACAGGCGGAGGGCAGGGGCGGGUGGGGGGUGCGGGCGGGAAUUUAUUUUUUUUUAAUUUUUUAAUACCCUUUAAUACCGGUUAUCUCAACCGGUACUAAAAGUCCCACUUUAGUAUCGAAUUGCCAGUACCGGUUGGACAAUCGGUACUAGAGGGGUUAUCGACCGGUACCAGAGGUGUUAUCCCUAGUAGUGUUCUUAUAUAUUUGAAAACGGAUGCCGAUUACUGCCGUGCUUUGGUCUGCCAACUAGGCAUUCUUAAUAGUCAACAGGAUUAUUCUGUUUCGUGUGUAGGGGAACUAGCAUCCUAACAACCGUUGGUGGCUUACGGCUUUGGCUUGGCUGUCAAUCAAGCGCCGCUUGGGUCACGACAAUGGCAGUAAGGUCGUGGUGUCUACCAAGUAAAACUACGUAUACAUUCCCUCCGUUCUAGUGCAGAUGUGGGCGUACACAAUAUUAGGCUAUACUGGUGUUAAAAAAGACCAGUAUAAACAUAUCCAAUGAUCGAGAUUAAUUGUAUACUACUAAAAACUUCACUAGUGGUAUGGAUAGUAUGCGUGAGUAGUAUAUGUGGUAUAAGGGUAUUAUGGAAAAAGAAAUAUAAAUGGCAUAUACAUAAUAUAUUUUUCUUGUUCUUUGAGAUGGUAAUAUAUCUCUCAUUUAGUAAUAAUUCGUAUGGUCCAUCAAUAUUUAGUAAUAACUAUAUUAGCAUUUGCCUAUACCAUAUACUACUGAGUGGUAGUAUUGUGUACCGUAAAAAACUUAUUUUUGAACAUUCUUGUCACAGGACGUUUUAAUUGACUUCAAGCAUGAUGUCCUCCAUCGACCAUCAUGUCCUAUUCUUUGCUCCGAGUCGUGUAGUUGUGCUUUUAAGAAAAAGGUGCUUGUGUGUUUUGCUUUUCGCGGUCUAAAAGUUUAGAUAGAUAUUUUGUACCGUAGUUGCUCAUCACUCCAAUUAUGUACACUUCUUCGCGCGUUAUUUCAUUUUCAAUCUUGGAGUCGCCGCUGCCGACCUAGAGAAUGGACUAGGGUGGCUGGCCUAAGGGUUUGGAUUCGAGAUGCUAAACUUUAGCAGGGUCACAUCGGAUGUUCGGACGCUAAUAAGAAGGACUAAAUAUGAGCUAAUUAUAAAACUAAUUGCAGAACCAUGUGCUAAUUCGCGAGAUGAAUCUAUUAAGCCUAAUUAUGGAUUAAUUAGGCUUAAUAGAUUCGUCUCACGAAUUAGACUCCAUCUGUGCAAUUAGUUUUGUAAUUAAACUAUAUUUAAUACUUCUCAUUAGUAUUCAAACAUACGAUGUGACACGUGCUAAAGUUUAAGGGGUUCACCCCCUUAAUCCCACCCUGCUGGGAUCAGCCUCCAUGGGGGCGACAGAUGCCACUGCCUAGGCAUGGCGGUGGCUGUUGCUGUAUCCCAGCGUUUGCAGGUAUACCGUAUCCCUGACAACAGGUGUGCGCAUGCAGAUUGGCCUUUCGGAUCUAUGGAGUGCUAAUAUGUGUUGCUUGAUGGUGUUGUGUCGAGGUGGGUUUGGGAUGUGCGCAUGCCGGGCCAACGAUGAUGACGUCUGUUGGUGCCACAUCCCUCUCUGGACAAUUAGACAGCCCCGACCCCUUCCCCUACCACCUGUGUUAUCAGUUCUUGCAGGUGUAAACCUUAUCUUUUGUUGAUUAGGUGAUGGCCGAGCCCAUGGCGUCGUGUCCCUCCCUCGCGGUGACACUUUGAAAGAACUCGUGCUUCAUCACAACGUACUGCUAAUUCCAUGGUUUAAGAGAAGGGCAGCAACUACUCAAGGGAAUGCAUGUCAGAUCAACAUGUCAUUUGAGUCGGAUGUUGUUAGGGAUUACGAGUCAUAUGCUGUUGAUUGGUUGGCAAAGACCAUGUGGUCUUCAGAUAUUUGUGAGAUGCUUUAGAUGCACUGUUCGCCACCUUUCUUUCGUAUGAGGAUGAUGGAGUUUUGGGGAUUUUGUGGUGUAAGAGAAUAGGAGUGACUACGUUAAGCUCUUCCUCCAUAUAUGGAUUGUAGGUUGCUAGGUAAUUUUGAGACGUAUGUUGAAUUUAAGAUCUUUUAUUGUUUAUCACUUACUGGAUCACUUUCUUCUUUCUCUCUUAUAUUUCCUUUUGACAAGGUUGUGUGUACUCCUGUUGGGGGAAAAUAUUAACAACCUCCUAAUGCCGCUUAAAGCGACAGUCAUGAAGGCCCAGGCCCACCUGCGGUAAUUACGAUUACAGCCGACCUAGUAAAGGCAAAGAACGUCCCACUCCGUCUCACCCGACCUAGGGCCUCGGGGUCGGACAAUCCCGACCCCUCGAAGGAGGGACUCUGCCUCGCCCGACCGUGGUCCCAGGGUCGGGAGCGCCCAACCCCUCGCCGCAAGGCUCCGCCUCGCCCGACCGCGGUCCUAGGGUCGGGAGCGCCCGACCCCUCGCCGCAAGGUUCCGCCUCGCCCGACCCAGAGAACCGGGGUCGGGAGCGCCCGACCCCCACCACAGAAACCCCGUCUCGUUCGACCCCGGGCACGGGGGUCGAACUCACUCGGGUCCACAAGACGGAUAUUUGCCUCGGGCCACUGGAGGAUCAGGAUAACGAUCUCGUGGGUCCCCCUAUCGACCUCGCCAUAAAUGCGUCGCGGGCCUGUCAAGCCAAAAGGGAGCGGCGUCCCCGACGUAACCAGUCCCGAAUACCGGUGCGUGGCGCAAAGUACUCAUGAGCUGCGCCGAACAACACAGGGGGGCGCAUCGCUUGCUCUCGCGCCCCGUGCUCCCAACGGCAGUGUCAGGGAUGCGACGUCCGGGUCUUACGGUAAUCGGUGGGGCAACAGAACCGGACCUCCUCCUCGGCGGGCACGGAUGCCGAGGCUGAGGCUCAUCAUCACGCUCGACGGCGACGGCGACCAGGGAGAUCAUCGACAAGAUCCGGAAGGAAUCGCCCUCCCUCGCCGGACGCGCUGACAGGGACCGGAUGCCGGAGCAAGAGCGGCGGCCUUGGGGCCCUCCCCUUGUAUUAUUUUUCUACUUAGCUUAUCCUUCCUGCUUCUUCUCCUGAGGUCCAGCUCAACUGUAACCCCGAGCUCCCUCUUGCGCUAUAAAAAGAGGACCGGGGGUCCUGAGACGGGGACGGAAACUCUGGCUCGGAAGCCAACAAUACACUCUCACACUCCCUUAGAGCACAAGCACACUCAAGAGACCUGGGAUCAGUUCCUUCUCUCGCCCUUCUGUAACCCCUACUAUAGAACCCCGCGUGGGUAACACGAGCAGCCUCGAUACUGGACGUAGGGCCUUCCUUUGCCCGAACCAGUCUAACCCCGUGUCUCCCACGCCACCAUCCGAAGCCUUACGCGCAUAAAAGAAAUUUACUAGUCUAGAGUCUUGAUCCGCAAAUCUUGACAACGACAACUACCUUGUUACAUAGGCUGGAAUCUAAGCUUUCUUCAUCCAAAAGAAGAUUAUAUAAAACAACCAGAAGGAGGGGGGGGGGAUUUUGACUGGUAAGGGAUGUUUUGCAGGAGGAUGUGCACCUCAACAUGAGUAACAUAGAAUCUGUGGGUACACUUUUAGCAACAUACCUUCAAACCACAUUCUAUGCAACAAUAAUCUUGUGCAAACCAUAUAUAGCUAUGCCCACCAUUUAUAGAACAAUGCUCAAUAGACUACAAUAUGCAUAUGAACGUGCACGGUGCACUACCGGAAUGUCUAAGUUUGUCGUGUGUCCAUGGCACACGGUGAAGCAAAAAAAAAACACUUGGCAAAGCUUUUGCCGAGUGGGCGUACACAGUGCCGGUAAAAAUGUUUUGGCCGAGUGCUAAAACCGACACUCGGCAAACAAAAAAAGCAAUGUGACGGUGCGAAGACGGUCACAUCACGAUUGCUGAGCGUCUAACGGUAUGUCCACGGAAAAACAAUCCUCGGCAAACAUGAGUCAUUUUAGACUUUAGGCACAAUUUCCUAAAGGAACACCAGAAAUUUCACAGAAAUUUUCACAUUAGCUAUGUAGAUAAUAGCAAAGUUCUUGCAAGGUGACCAUACUUGCAAGGUAUGCUCGCACGUGUUCAAAUUUGUUGUAAAUCUGCAGUUCUGUCCGAACAUAUAAUGACCUGAACAGCAAAAAGAUUUGCCUCGACAGCACCAGGGGAGGUGGGAGCUCACUGUUUACCGCUUUCUGUCCUCCCUUGCAAUCAACUCCUAUAGUGUCCAAAGACUUGACCAAGUCCAAGUCCACGCGGUCCAGGCAAGCCCACUGGCCACCGGGAAACUCGACCCCACAGCACGAGUUGGAGGCCCCACGCGGGAAAGGAAUCCUAAGCGAUGCAAUCAUCCAUAUGUGGGUCCCUCAGACAUGAUUUUUUGGCUGUGAACACUGCACAGCAACUCGCGAGAAUUUUGCCCUCAGCCUUUUUUAUCUGUAGGUUUUGGGAGCACAGAGAGAAGGAAAAAUUGGGUUAAGAUGGAGUUGUUAUUGGGAUAUGCGGAAAAGUAGGUAACGAAGUUGGACAACUGUUGGAGCUUUGGUUUUUCACCUUGGUUACCAAAAACUAGUCAUUGAAAUCAUAUAUCGGGCACUCUUAAAAAUACUCUAACUGAUGAUCUAGUACAUAUAUUUUGAACAUUAUUUUUUAAAACCUUAUAGCAACUCAAAACCUCUUUUAAUUUUUUCUACUAUCAUAAUCGUCUUAAUCUUGGUCUACUUAAAUGUUUAGACUACUUAACCUGCAAUAACGUUUCUUAUCUAGAAGAGACUAUUUGCCCAACAACUAACCGUCGUAUUCCCUCGUAAAUAGCCAUAGGGCCCAAGCUAUAUGAUCACCACCUAAACCAAUUAUUGUCUCGACCACCUAAACCAAUUAUUAUCUUUCCAACUAGCAUUUCGCUUGCGUAAAUGGAAUCCCCAUCUGCGACUGUGAGGCCCUGAGAAUUGAAGCGCCCUUCCUCUCUGACACCACCACAAGCUAGCAGAGCGGUAGAGCCAGCAGCUUCCCAGUCGAGAUGGCCGAACUGAUGGCGAGCGCCGCCACGAGCAUGAUGGGGUCCGUCAUCGGCAAGCUGACUGCCAUGCUCGGCGAGAAGUACCAGCUCGCCAGAGACGUGGAGCAAGGGAUCCGCUUCCUGAAGGAUGAGCUGAGCAGCAUGGAUGCCGUGCUGCAGAAGCUCGCAGACAAGGACGACGACCAAAUGGAUCCAAUGGAUAAAGAUUGGAGGAACAAGGUGCGUGAGCUAUCCUUCGAUAUUGAGGAUUGCGUCGAUCGCUUCAUGCUCAAUCACAGCCAUGGAGGUUCCAAGGCUAACUUUGUUCGCAAAGCCGUGCGUAAGGUGAAGAUGUUGUGGGAGGACCAGGGCAUAGCAGGGGAGAUCCAAAAACUCAAGAUACUCGUGACAGAGCAUAGUGACCGGGCCAAACGCUACCGUGCGCUUGGACCCUCGCCGCCUCACUAUCUCGCCGCCUCACCUCAGCCGGUGCGCUUGGAUCCUCGAGCAACUGCCCUCUUUCAGGAGGCGAGGGAUCCUGUGGGAAUUGAUGGUCCUCGCGAGGAAAUCAUCCAGUUAUUACAAGUUGAAGAAAAUCAACACAAGGUGGUGUCUAUCUAUGGUACCGCUGGGCAGGGGAAGACUACUCUAGCCAUGGAGGUAUACCGAAAAAUCACACAAACACAAGCAUUUGAUUGCAGGGCUUUCGUGUCUGUAUCUCAGACUCUGGAUAU